RNAcentral lists this ribosomal RNA (465 nucleotides) under uncultured bacterium. Its description in RNAcentral is "partial 16S ribosomal RNA". It matches the Rfam family "Bacterial small subunit ribosomal RNA", at positions 28 to 507 of the family's 1533-position model. The record is from RNAcentral.
GACGAACGCUGGCGGCGUGCUUAACACAUGCAAGUCGAACGGAAAGGCCCUGCUUGCAGGGUACUCGAGUGGCCAACGGGUGAGUAACACGUGGGUGAUCUGCCCUGCACUUCGGGAUAAGCCUGGGAGACUGGGUCUAAUACCUGAUAGGAGCCAUUUUUAGUGUGAUGGUUGGAAAGUUUUUGCGGUGUAUGAUGAGUUCGCGGGCUAUCUGCUUGUUGGUGGGGUAAUGUAGUACCAAGGCGGCGACGGGUAGCCGGACUGAGAGGGUGGAAGGCGACACUGGGACUGAGAUACGGCACAGACUGCUACGGGAGGGAGAAGUGGGGAAUCUUGCACAAUGGGCGCCAGCCUGAUGAAGCGACGCCGCGUGGGGGAUGACGGCGUUCGGGUUGUAAACUACUUUCGCUAGGGACGAAGCUUAUUGUGACGGUACCUAGACAAGAAGCACCGGCUAACUACGUG